This 546-nucleotide long non-coding RNA is filed under the name Brassica rapa (field mustard). RNAcentral describes it as "long non-coding RNA (BRAP_LNC000921)". The record is from RNAcentral. Lineage: Eukaryota; Viridiplantae; Streptophyta; Magnoliopsida; Brassicales; Brassicaceae.
CUUAUUGAGUUUCACUAAAGCCUUACCAAAAUCAAUGCCACAAAUCUCCGUUUGUGCUUGCGUUUUUGAAUUAAAAGCCUUCUUUUGUUAUCAGUAUAAGCUUUUGUUAAGUUUGAAUCUGAUUGAGUUAUUGUCUUUGUAAUAAUUUGGCUCAAGUGUUAUAUGAAAUGAAAAAAAAAAUGCGGAUCCAUGUAGUUCUGCAUGACCCGUAACGGCCCAUCCUGCAAAAGACCCAGUCCCGCAAAAAUCCAUCCCGCGAGGUCUGCAAAUUUGCGGACUUAGAAAACCUCAUCCGAAUACCAUCCCGCGAUAGUUCUUUACGGGCAAGGCCUGCGGUCUAGAUCCAUAAUUGCCAUAUGUAGUUAUGGAGUUGGGUUGGAGGAGAUGACCUUAGUCGGGGUUAUAAGAAACAUUAAAAAAAAAAAACAAAUAGUAUAAUAUAUUUUCUCAUUUCUACUUUGGAAAAUGGACAUCUUUUUAAAUUUAGUAACGAAGACACCAAAAUGUAUAGUUUUGAAUAUCUAUACUAUUAUUUGCGAAGUAAAU